Molecule: non-coding RNA, 95 nt
Organism: Dothidotthia symphoricarpi CBS 119687
Lineage: Eukaryota; Fungi; Ascomycota; Dothideomycetes; Pleosporales; Dothidotthiaceae
Source: the annotation of a RefSeq genome assembly
UCCGAAAUAGUAUAGUGGCUAGUAUACCCCGCUCUCAUCAGAUCAUCAGAAACGAUAGUGCCGGGGAGACCGGGGUUCAAUUCCCCGUUUCGGAA